Molecule: transfer RNA, 64 nt
Filed under: Cassida circumdata
Lineage: Eukaryota; Metazoa; Arthropoda; Insecta; Coleoptera; Chrysomelidae
Description: tRNA-Ser
Source: RNAcentral
AGACAUUAAACUUGCUAAGUAUAUAUUUUGAAAGUAUAAAAAAGAAUUAAAUUUCUAAUGUCUU